CACGGGGGUUGCGAGCGUUGUCCGGAAUUACUAGGCGUAAAGGGCAGGCAGGCGGAUCCAUAAGUUUAUCGUUUAAGGCGUCGGCUUAACCGGCGUAGGGCGGUAGAUACUGUGGAUCUGGAAUGCGGUUGGGGAAGACAGAAUUCCUGGUGUAGCGGUGGAAUGCGCAGAGAUCAGGAGGAAUACCGAAGGCGAAGGCAGUCUUCCAAGCCGUUAUUGACGCUCGACUGCGAAGGUGUGGGUAUCAAACAGGAUUAGAUACCCCGGUAGUCCCUGAGCGGG
Molecule: ribosomal RNA, 282 nt
Filed under: uncultured prokaryote
Description: partial 16S ribosomal RNA
Rfam family: Bacterial small subunit ribosomal RNA
Source: RNAcentral